This 320-nucleotide ribosomal RNA is filed under the name Blastocystis sp. subtype 3. Its description in RNAcentral is "bacterial SSU rRNA". It matches the Rfam family "Eukaryotic small subunit ribosomal RNA", at positions 508 to 835 of the family's 1831-position model. The record is from RNAcentral. Lineage: Eukaryota; Bigyra; Opalinata; Blastocystidae.
AUUGGAUUGAGAACAACGUACAAACCUUAUCGAUAAACAAUUGGAGGGCAAGUCUGGUGCCAGCAGCCGCGGUAAUUCCAGCUCCAAUAGCGUAUAUUAACGUUGUUGCAGUUAAAAAGCUCGUAGUUGAAACGAAGGGUGGUGUUGUUGGGUUUACAUUCGUGUACUUCUUUCAACUCCCUCCCUCCUUCUAAAUUCGAUAUAUGAGUAUUAAUUUACUUGUAUAUGGUUUUAGACAUUUACUGUGAGAAAAUUAGAGUGUUCAAAGCAGGCAUUUGCUUGAAUAUAUUAGCAUGGAAUAAUCAUGUAUGAUUUUCAUG